Molecule: long non-coding RNA, 1725 nt
Filed under: Homo sapiens (human)
Lineage: Eukaryota; Metazoa; Chordata; Mammalia; Primates; Hominidae
Description: HSALNT0084413
Source: RNAcentral
CAGGACUUGACCUAAGGGGAAAGCAGACUGCUGUGGCAGGGGAAAGGGUGACCCCCACUGCCCAGAAUAAAAAGGACCAUUCACAAGGUGGCCUCUGAGGGUAAAUGGCUGAAGCCCUCUCCUGUCAUAGGCAAACUGGCUAUAGCCAGUUUGGGCAGAGAAAGUCAAAGCAUGCUGAACAGUUGAUGAGCAGCGUGGGAGAAUGUUUCCCCAAAUGACUGUAGGCUGCACUACCACCUCACUGUAAGGUUGCAGGUGGGACCUUGCUGCCUGGUCCUCAGAGAAGACUGGACUCUGGACAGGCCUCACAGCACUCACCUUCCUAGGGAUGGCCUGGCACAUCCCCUUGAGUUACCUGGCACCUUUGAGGUGGUGGGGUUGAUUCCCACUGUCAGGAGGAAGUGGUAUGGUUACAGAAUGUCAGACUCGUUCUUGGAGUGGCAGAGGGGAUAAAGCCACCUGGCUGCUCCUGCCACUUUUCUCUAGGGGAAAAACAAAAGGGGUGGAAGCCCAAGGACCUGAGCCAGUGAGGCAGCAUUUGGGGCUGUAUGGUGCCUGCUGAGGCACUGCUGGCUGAGGAGGCAGACACAGUUUGAGAAGAUCCUCUGGGAAAUAUGGACUGCCUUAUGGUCUGAAUGCUGUGAUCCCCUCUACCCCAAUUCAUAAGUUGAAAUUCUAACCCCCAAAGUGAUGGUAUCAGGAGGUAGGGCCUUUGGGAAGUGAUUAGGUCACGAGGGGAGAUCCCUCUUGACUGGGAUUAUAAAAGACCUUGGAGAGCUAGCUAGUCCCUUCCACCAUGUGAGGGCACAACUAGAAGGCAUCAUCUAGGAAAUGACAGAAAGCGGGUCCUCACCAGACACCGAAUCUGCCAGGGCCUUGAUCUUGGACAGCCCAGCCUCCACAACUGUGGGAAAUAAAUGUCUGUUGUUUAUAAGCUACCCAGUCUAAGGUAUUUUGUUAUAGCAGCCUGAAUGGACUAAGACAGAUUUCAUAUUAGUUUCCUAGGUUUGCCGUAAUAAUGUGCCACCAAAUAACAGAAAUUUAUUAUCUCACACUUCUGGAAGUUAGGAGUCCAGAUUCAAGGUGUCAGCAGGGUCAUGCUUCUUCUGAGGACUUCAGAGGAGGAUCCUCCCAGCAUCUGGUGGCCCCAGGCAUUCCUUGGCUUGUGGCUGCAUCACUCCAGUCUCCGCCACCAUCUUCACAUGGCCUUCUUCCCUGUGUGUCUCCUCCUCUUGUAAGGACACCAGCCAUUGGACUUAAGGAUCACCCUAGAAAUCCAUUAUGAUUUUGUCUUAAGUUACUUAACUAACUGUGUCUGCAAAGACCCUAUUUCUAAAUAAGGUCGCAUCGUGAAUUUUGGGGUAGACAUGAAUUUUUGGGAGGCCUCCACUCAACCCACUACAGACUGAGUGGCAGAGAGAGGUCAAGGAUCAUGAAGUAGUGUUCUCCUGGUGGGGGUUAUUGUAAUGGGUGUAGCUAGUGAUUCCCUCCAGCUAUUUCCUCAGAUGACAGAGGAUGCUGGGGUGGAGGGGCUGGGCUCACCAAAGGGACCUGGAGCCCAGGGUUCCCAGCAAGGACUGCUGAUCCCAUGACAUCAUCAUCUUAGAAGGGCAGCAACAUCUGUGAGCAGCUGAAGGCUCCAAGAACACACUUUUUUUUUUUUUUUUGAAAGCGCAUUCUACUGACAGAAGCCUCACUAGGAAAACUCAAGAUGCUGUCUUUCAG